GUCCCAGGCCCAGGGUCCACGUUCUAACAAACGUCACUCGAUUCAGCGUCGAUGGUGUUUGGUUCUCUCUUCAUCUUCGGUCGUCAUCGUUUUCUCGCUGUUUGUUAGACAAACCGAAUGAUAUGAAAAGCCCGGAGAUAUUGAAAGGGCCAUGAAUUUGGCGAGGUCAGAAGUGCUACAAUCAUUUCAAACCUGGGACUGACAUGAGACAUGUUCAACAAAGGAAUCUGCUGGAGUGCUCCCCUUUGAAGCUCAAGGAGAAUGCCAUUCCUAAACUGAGGAAGGGAAGUGGCCUCCACCAUAUGACCAAUGUCUGCAAGGCAUCUAGCAUAUAGGCAUGUAUAUUCCCCACAGUCAUAGUCAUUGCCGCUUGAUUGCUGUGCAAUGUCAACUUUGGUGUUGCAGAAGAAACCCCACUCUUCUAUGUUGGCACCAAGCUUGCUUAGCACUGAAGCCAUUUUAUUCAUUGCUUUCUGGGUUGGGGGCUUGACAUAGUCCACUGCUCGGCUAUCCAGCACAAAAACAACUUUCAUUCGAGGUAGGACUGCAAGAAGGAACCAAUGGUUGGGGUUUGGUGUGUUGCAAGGGACAAGGAUCAGAUCGUAGGAGAGGGGAGAUUCAUACUCUUUUAGGAGUCAAGUAGAGAUAGCAGAAACCUUAACCCUUUCAGGCCGGUGAACGUCAAAUGACGUGUUGCGUUACAUAGCGUUAUCUUACGGUGAACGUCAUUUGACGUUUUCCCUAGUGACCUUCAAAAACUGACCAAUAACUCUUUACCACUUCCUUAUAUGGGAAUGCCAUGUGCUUCAGUAGAUAGAGCGUGAAAUUUCACACAACUUUCUUAUACAACUUGCGAUCAUUCGAACAAUAUCUACUGCGAUAAACCACCGUUUUUUACACUGUUUUGAACUCCAUUUUGACCAAAUGGAUUCAUGGUUUGAAGAUAUCUUCGGAGAGUCUGAUGAUGAAGAGUUUGAGGGCUUUGAAAGCCAAGAAAUUGGCGGUUCAAGCUCGGAUAGCUCUUCUGAAGACGAAGGCCACGAGAGCGAAGACAUUGAAGACGAGAUUUGUCGAGAAAUUCUUCGCCGAUCUCUAUUCCUGACUUCACUCCUAGAUGCGGCCCGAAAAACCUACCUGGAAACUUGUCUCCCCUAUCUUUCUUUGAGUUGUUUUUCAAAUCAAAGGUGAUAGAACUCAUUGUGACCGAGACUAAUAUGUAUGCGGUUCAAUGCAACACUGACGAGUUUGACGAAGAAGGAAGGAAGAAAGCUAAGGACGCGAAUUGGUUCGACAAAGAGGGAAACAUCAAACCUCUAACAAUCGAAGAACCGAAGGCGUUUCUCGGCAUCACCAUCAUGAUGGGCAUUGUUGACCUCAGCGAUCAGCAUCGCUCAUACUAUACGGUAUCCUUAAGAGGACAUGUGAAAUGGUGGAAAUAUUUAUUUUAUUUUUACAUGGACAUCUCAAUAAUCAACGCAUUGCAGCUCCAUGGCCAGAGUGCUGAAGCGAAACUUACUAACUUCGAGUUUAGACUUGCACUCGCAAAGAGCCUCAUUGGAACUUACUAGGGAAGACAGCGAGCCGGACGUCCACGCGUUCUCCCGGUUAUCGCGGAUGUCGAGCACUUUUCGGAGAAAUUGGCAGACAAGGCGAAAGCCUGUAAAAACUGUCAAUCUAAGAACAAGCGCCUAAAAGCUGGAAAUAAGGCAGUGAAACGUGCAAAGGAAACGCGAAACGGGUGCCGAAAGUGUGAUGUUCACUUGUGCGUGGGAGACUGCUUUUGUGAAUGGCACCAGCAGCGCAGAGACGACAACAAA
This is an RNA transcript of Nematostella vectensis (starlet sea anemone), 1817 nucleotides long. RefSeq lists it as uncharacterized. The record is from RefSeq and is a predicted model, not a curated record. The transcript is spliced from 3 exons. Lineage: Eukaryota; Metazoa; Cnidaria; Anthozoa; Actiniaria; Edwardsiidae.